Long non-coding RNA from Populus trichocarpa (black cottonwood), 1335 nucleotides. RefSeq lists it as uncharacterized. The record is from RefSeq and is a predicted model, not a curated record. Lineage: Eukaryota; Viridiplantae; Streptophyta; Magnoliopsida; Malpighiales; Salicaceae. The transcript has 2 exons.
UCAGUGUAGAUAAUGUAGAAAUAGCAUUUUUAUGAUUUUUUUCCACCUUUUCUUUCUUUUUUUUUCAUUCUUCAUGCAUAUAUGUCAUCUUUGCCACUAUAUUUUAUUUUCUCUAUCUUAUGUCUAGAAGUUUAUUGGUUUUUCUUUCCCUUCCUUCCCUCUUUUAUUAAUGUAUAUAAUGUAGAAAUGAUAUUCCUGUGAUUUUUUGCAAUGUUUUUUCUUUCUUUCUCCAUGCAUAUGUAUCAUCUUUGCCACCAUGUAAUUUAAUUUUUUUCUCCAUUCUUAUCUCAUGUCUACAAGUCUCUUGGAUUUCUUUUCCGUUUUUCUCUCUCUCUCUUUUUUACAAUUACAAUAUCAAAAUCCCCUCUAUUCCACUAUUUUUUUUCUACAUUUGAAAUUAGAUUUUUUUAAUCUUAAAAAACAACCGCAACCACUAUCAUUACCACCAACUCUCUCCCUUUAUAUUUUUUUUUCCUCUCUUUUUUGCCAUUCAAAAUGAUGUAGGGUGAGUGAUGGGUUGAGAUUAAUAUUGAUUGAUAGAUCAGUUUUUAAAUUUCUGAUCUCUCUCUCUAUUUUUUUUUUUCUGAUUUGUUUUUUGCUUUUGGAGUGUGGAUUUUGUCACAAGCGUUUGUUGAAUUAGGAAAUGCCAGGUGUUGAAAUUGGGAGAGAGGGAAAGCUGCUAUUAAAGAAAUGGGCAGAGCUUGAAGAAGUCGAUAGUUGUUUAUUUUUUAUAACAAUACGCAUCAUUUGGUUUUGUUAUUUCAACUGAUAGUCAUUUGCUUCCAUGUUUGAUUCUUAGAUCUUAUUCGUUGUUUGUACCAUUUGGAUCUUGCUUGAUCAACCUUUUAGAUAUGUGCGUAUGCUUUUUUCAAUCUUCAGUUGCUCUUCUUCCUCCCAUCGAGGACUGCUUAUUUUCAGAUGAUCAAGGAGGCUAUAUCGGCUUUGAAUGAGAAAAUAGGUGUAGUCUAUAUGUAAUAGCAGAGUACAUGGAAAAGAAGCACAAAACAGUUCUCCUAGCAAAUUUCAAGAAAAUUUUAGGCCGAAGAGGUCUACAGCAAUAGGGAGGUUGAUCAAGACUAGGGCAUUGCAUGCACCAACAUGCUGGUCUUUGGGCUAGUCAAAAUGGUUAGGUUUCCCAACCUAGAUUUUUUCUAGCCUUUUGGGCUUUGACCAAAUGGCUGGAUUUGCAUCCCGACACCAACCUAGUUUACCCAAUACACCUCUUCAUGAAUUUUUCCAGACGUCUUAGAGCUGCACAUACAAACUUUCUAUGUAUACGCUUUGUUCUACGCACACAUCUUUUUCUAUGACGAGCUAUAACGUUUUCUAAGCCAA